This 249-nucleotide unclassified non-coding RNA is filed under the name plant metagenome. Its description in RNAcentral is "partial contains small subunit ribosomal RNA, internal transcribed spacer 1, and 5.8S ribosomal RNA". The record is from RNAcentral.
UCUCCGUUGGUGAACCAGCGGAGGGAUCAUUACAGAGUUGCAAAACUCCCAAACCAUUGUGAACGUUACCUAUCCCGUUGCUUCGGCGGGCGGCCCGGGCCCCGCGCCCGGCGCCCCCCGGCCCCCCGUGGGCGCCCGCCGGAGGUAAACCAAACCCUUGAAUUGCAUGGCCUCUCUGAGUCUUCUGUACUGAAUAAGUCAAAACUUUCAACAACGGAUCUCUUGGUUCUGCAUCGAUGAAGACGCAGC